AGGACGGGCCGCGCCAGGACGGGACGGGCCUGGCCUGCCAGUCAGACAGACAGCGGUUCCCUUCACUCACCCCGCGACGCCGCUGUCGGAGGAACAGCCAAUAUUUUCUCCUCUGGAACAUUUGAGCGAUAUAACAGAUGGACUCUGUAAAGCAAUUAAAAACAACACGCCUGGAAAUAACUGAAAAGUACAUUUUCAAAAAAAUCAAAGGAAAGGAUUUAACUAUAUCUGAGAUAAUCUCAAAAACAGAUGACAAACUAUGUGAAGCCAAACGUAAUCCAUCUGAUUAUCACUUUGGUCGUUGAAAGAUUGAGCAAUUAGGAAAAGCAAUUAUCAUGAAAUCCAAAGUGAUUCUUUAAUCACAGACUAUUAUCUUCAAGAUGUUGAACAAUAAUUUCAUUCAGAAGCUUAUGGCCAGGAAGAAUACAAUGCUGAUGGAUCGAUAGUCUUACAGAAGUGUUGGGUCUCCCUCUUCCUAAAAGAAAAUGUUUUUUCCCUCACACCGAUGUUGGUCAGUGAAGAUAGUCUGAGGCCUUCAGCAGUGACCUGCAUCAGCCAAUGUCAGCCACUAGAUAGAACCCUGAUCAAUC
Long non-coding RNA from Chiloscyllium plagiosum (whitespotted bambooshark), 590 nucleotides. RefSeq lists it as uncharacterized. NCBI's taxonomy places the organism in Eukaryota, Metazoa, Chordata, Chondrichthyes, Orectolobiformes, Hemiscylliidae. The record is from RefSeq and is a predicted model, not a curated record.